RNAcentral lists this non-coding RNA (27 nucleotides) under Cricetulus griseus (Chinese hamster). The record is from RNAcentral. Lineage: Eukaryota; Metazoa; Chordata; Mammalia; Rodentia; Cricetidae. RNAcentral also lists the same sequence under 1 other name.
CUCAGUUGGUAGAGCGGAGGACUGUAG